This 784-nucleotide non-coding RNA is filed under the name Cybister japonicus. Lineage: Eukaryota; Metazoa; Arthropoda; Insecta; Coleoptera; Dytiscidae. The record is from RNAcentral.
UAAAAGUUUAAUUUUAGCUUAAAGGUUUAUUUAAUUUUUUUUUUACAUGUAAAUUUUUGUGUGUUUAAAGAUAAAUUUUAAUAAUUUAUUUUAAAAAUUUUAUUCGCAGUAUGAAGUUUUAAUAAUUUAAGAAAUUAAGAAUUAUAAAUAAAUUUUAGUAUUGACAAAUUUUGUGCCAGCAGUUGCGGUUAUACAGAAAAUGUAAAUGAAUUUUAUUGGUAAAUAAUUAGAUGUUUUAUAUAUAAAUUAAUUUAAUAUUUUUUAGGUGAAAUUUAAAAUAUUAUUAUAUUUUAUAAUAAAUAUUUUGUUAUUAUGAAAUUUUUAUUUAAACUAGGAUUAGAUACCCUAUUAUUUUAAAUGUAAAUUAAAAUUCCAAAGAAGUAUUAGUUAUGUUCUUGAAAUUUAAAAAAUUUGGCGGUAUUUUAGUCUAUUCAGAGGAACCUGUUCUAUAAUCGAUAGUCCACGAUUUACUUUACUUAAUUUUAAAAAUUUGUAUAUCGUCGUUUAUAAAUGAUUUUAUAAGAAUAAAAAUUUUUAGAAUUUUAAAUUAAUAAAAAUGUCAGAUCAAGGUGCAGUUUAUAGUUAAGAAGAAAUGGGUUACAAUAAAUUUAUUUAAACGAAUUAAUGUAUUUAAAGUUAUUAUAAAGGUGGAUUUGAUAGUAAUAAAAUUAAAUUAAAUUUUAUGAUUUUAGCUCUAAAAUAUGUACAUAUCGCCCGUCGCUCUUAUAAUAAAAUAAGAUAAGUCGUAACAAAGUAGAUGUACUGGAAAGUGUAUCUAGAAAGA